GUGCUCACUUCGGUAGUAUAUAUAUUACAAUUGGAACAAUACAGAGAUUGGCAUGGCCCCUAUGUAAGGAUGACAAGCAAAUUCAUGAAGCAUUCCAUAUUUUU
RNAcentral lists this small nuclear RNA (104 nucleotides) under Theropithecus gelada (gelada). Lineage: Eukaryota; Metazoa; Chordata; Mammalia; Primates; Cercopithecidae. The record is from RNAcentral.